GGAGGGUAAAGGCUUCUGGGGCUUACCAGUUCGUUCUUCUUAAGGAAAAGCUAACUGGGCUACGCCCUGUCAGGGUAAGCUUGAAAUACCAAACCCUAAGCUGGUGAUUAGUGGCAUUCCCCAGAGGUCAGCUUUUCCAGCUAGCACGGAGUUUCACCCAUGAAGAGGCUCAACAUCCAAAGCAACCCACUGCAAGCUCGGAAAGGUUCCACUGCUGGCCCCGCCUCCGCUCCAGGCUCCCGACCUAACCCCGCCUCCUGCUCGCACCCUGGCUUCCGAGAUCUUCAACCUUUCCUCCCGGCUCCACACUCCUGGACCUGCCCCUAGACUCUAGCCCCCUCUUUACCAGCUAACUUCUGGCCCCGCCCCCGAGGUUACAGGAGUGGGGGCGGGGCUGGGGAACCAUCGAGCGAGAUGCUCUGGCCUGCGAGCGGAUCUGAACCGGAGGAAGUCUGCCUGGUGGGACGAGGAGGGAUGGGCGUGCGAAGCCGUUUCCGGUGGCUCGCUCUGUUGGCGGGUCCCAGACGCGCCCAGACUGGGUGUCUGAAUCAAAACAAGUGGAUCCCACCCUCCAAAUCUCAUGGAGGCGGUGACAUUUGGCGACGUGGCUGUGCACUUCUCUCGGGAGGAGUGGCAAUGUCUGGAUUCUGGUCAGAGGGCCCUCUACAGGGAGGUGAUGCUGGAGAACCACAGCAGUGUGGCUGGAUUAGGUGAGGCUACACCUGGGGAUCCCCUCCAGACAUGAGUCAGCAUCUGCCCCACACUGUCAGAGAGAGAGCAGAUGUGGAUGCUAACUGCUUGGGCCUGAGAGGAUAAACUUUCAAUCUGAGUGUGUCAGGCUAGCUCCAGGCUACAUGUCACCCAACUUAGUCUUUGUGAGGUAGGUAGACUUCAGAGAACUAGUCAAACCUCUGUUUUUCCUAAGCUAUUAAAUUAUCAUAUGAGAAAUAGAACCCAUACUUGAAAUAGCUUUAACACACACGCAUGUGCACACACACACAAAAAAGAAAGAAAAGGGGAAAAGAUCUUUGUUAGCAUGGGGAUUCCAGGAAGAACUGUUCUGGAACCAGAGUGUCAGUGACACCUUGAGUCUCUUCUUUCCUUCUAUUCUGCCAUCAGACUUCUGCCACUCUUGCUACCUUCCCUGGAGGUUGCUCUAACAAUACAACUUUGUAGUUUGUUUUAACUUCGUGGUAGAACGUAUAUCCUGCUUGAUGCGUGUCUUACUUCUUACUGAGCCCUCUUCAGGGCUGAUCCCAUCAUGUUGGUGCUUACAUCAUGGGAGAACCCUGGGUUCUUGGGAGGAUGCCUGGGCUGGUGGAAGGGGAGGUGGGAAUGGGUGUAGUUUUUUUACUAGGUACUUUUCUGGGUAUUGGACCAGGCCUAUAACUGUUCAUCCCAUUCAGGCUGGCUAACUCCAGUUUUCUGAUGUCUUAGUUAAGUAGUGGCCAACAAGGGCUGGAGUAUGUACAGGUCAGUGGUUGAAUAUUCUUCUGACACACAAAGCUCUGGUGUCAAUUCCUAAUACCACAGAGAGCAAAAGAAAAAAUAAAACAAGCUGGGUAUGAUGGUGCAUCCCUUUAAUCUCAGCACUUGGGAGGCAGAGACAGGCUGAUCUCUGAGUUGGAGGUCAGACUUGUCUAUAGAGCAAGUUCAGGAUAGCCAGGGCUACACAGAAACCCUGUUUUGAAAACAACAGCAAAACAAAAACAAAAAGAAAGCAAAAAAUAACUUAAGAGUCUGGUUUUUGUGUUUGUCUAAUUUUUAAGAGUUUGGGCAUCCUGUCAUACCUUGCUUACUACUUUGUUAGGUUCUGAAAUCAUAUAUUUGUGCAGCUCUUUUGCCUUUAAAAAAACAAAAGCCAGUCAGUGCUGUUACUCACUGACUUGUACUUAGGUGUUUAGUCUAUCUUGUGUUAGAUUUCACCAAGAUCAUGAUGACAUGUUAUGAAGUGCAUUAUUAAAUGUACAUAUCAGAAUUUUAACAAAGGAUACUACUUGGUACUCUGCAAGAGCUGUCUCAGACUCAUAUAUAGUUUAUCACAUGUCUCAGUGUAAGAAGGAAACAUAGAAUACAUUGGCCAGGAUUUCCUCUUGCUCGAUCAUCCAUGUCUACUCCCUAGGGGGUUCUGGCCUGCCAGGAAUGAUGGUGUUCUCUUUCUUCUUUAGGGUUUUAUCUUCUGUGAGGGUCAAUGCCUAAGCUUUCUUGUGUCUCCUAGUGACAAAACAAACAGCCUUACCUACAUUUUCUGUCUUUUCUCAGAAAAAAAAACAAAAACAAAAACAAAAACUGUACCUACUGUUACAAUGUGCCUAUGAGUGGAAUUGC
Cricetulus griseus (Chinese hamster) is the source of this 2328-nucleotide non-coding RNA. Lineage: Eukaryota; Metazoa; Chordata; Mammalia; Rodentia; Cricetidae. The record is from RefSeq and is a predicted model, not a curated record.